GAUGAACGCUAGCGGCAGGCUUAAUACAUGCAAGUCGUGGGGCAGCACAGUCCGCCGAAAGGCGGAUGGGUGGCGACCGGCAAACGGGUGCGGAACACGUACGCAACCUUCCUACAGGCGGGGAAUAGCCCAGAGAAAUUUGGAUUAAUACCCCAUAAAAUUUUAAGAUGGCAUCAUCUUAUUAUUAAAGCUUCGGCACCUGAAGAUGGGCGUGCGGCUGAUUAGGUAGNGGCGGGGUAACGGCCCACCAAGCCUGCGAUCAGUAGCUGAUGUGAGAGCAUGAUCAGCCACACGGGCACUGGAGACACGGGCCCGACUCCUACGGGAGGCAGCAGUAGGGAAUCUUGCGCAAGUGGCGAAAGCCUGACGCAGCGACGCCGCGUGUGGGAUGAAUGCCUUC
This 400-nucleotide ribosomal RNA is filed under the name uncultured bacterium. RNAcentral describes it as "bacterial SSU rRNA". It matches the Rfam family "Bacterial small subunit ribosomal RNA", at positions 28 to 419 of the family's 1533-position model. The record is from RNAcentral.